CCUACGGGUGGCAGCAGUGAGGAAUAUUGGUCAAUGGGCGAGAGCCUGAACCAGCCAAGUCGCGUGAGGGAGUACUGCCCUAUGGGUUGUAAACCUCUUUUGUCGGGGAGCAAAAGCCGGACGUGUCCGGCUGUGAGAGUACCCGAAGAAAAAGCAUCGGCAAACGCCGUGCCAGCAGCCGCGGUAAUACGGAGGGUGCGAGCGUUAUCCGGUUUUAAUGGGUUUAAAGGGUGCGCAGGCGGAUUUUUAAGUUCGCGGUCACAUCGUGGGGCUAAACCCCAUCCAGCCGUUGAAACUGGGGAUCUAGUGUGUGCGAGAGGUAUGCGGAAUGCGUGGUGUAGCGGUGAAAUGCAUAGAUAUCACGCAGAACCCCGAUUGCGAAGGCAGCAUACCGGUGCACAACUGACGCUCAGGCACGAAAGCGUGGGUAUCGAACAGGAUUAGAUACCCGAGUAGUC
Molecule: ribosomal RNA, 458 nt
Filed under: uncultured bacterium
Lineage: Bacteria
Description: partial 16S ribosomal RNA
Rfam family: Bacterial small subunit ribosomal RNA
Source: RNAcentral